This 264-nucleotide long non-coding RNA is filed under the name Lathyrus oleraceus (garden pea). RNAcentral describes it as "Pisum sativum (pea) long non-coding RNA (PSAT_LNC002450)". The record is from RNAcentral. Lineage: Eukaryota; Viridiplantae; Streptophyta; Magnoliopsida; Fabales; Fabaceae.
UGGUGAUGAAGGGUUUCUGGCGGUGAGUGGGUUGAGGAGUGAAAAAGAAACGGAAGUUAUGGUAAUGGCAUUAGAAAAGAGAGAGAAGAUCGAUGUGAAUCAAUGAAGAAGAACUCCCUCGCUCUUUUUCAGCUCCACCGUGAUCCACCCAAACUCUGAUCGUCACCUUGUGUUUUCGGCGACAAAACCCCUAAUCCAUUUUCCAUCCAGAGAGAAUAUCGUUGGAAAUCCAAUUCAAAUGAAAACCGUAGAUUUUGGGUUCAG